AAUUUGAAGAUGGUAACCUUGGGUUUGGCUCUUGUCUAUGUUCCUUGGAACAGGACGUCAUAGAGGGUGAGAAUCCCGUCUGAUGAGAUGCCCAUUCCUAUSUAAGGUKCUAUYGAAGAGUCGAGUUGUUUGGGAAUGCAGCUCUAAGUGGGUGGUAAAUUCCAUCUAAAGCUAAAUAUUGGCGAGAGACCGAUAGCGAACAAGUACAGUGAUGGAAAGAUGAAAAGAACUUUGAAAAGAGAGUGAAAAAGUACGUGAAAUUGUUGAAAGGGAAGGGCAUUAGAUCAGACUUGGUGUUUUACGAUUAUCUUCUCUUCUUGAGUUGUGCACUCGUAUUUCACUGGGCCAGCAUCGAUUCGGAUGGCAAGAUAAUGGCAGUUGAAUGUGGCUUCACUUCGGUGGAGUGUUAUAGCUUCUGCUGAUAUUGCCUGUCUGGAUCGAGGGCUGCGUCUUUUGACUAGGAUGCUGGCG
This 471-nucleotide ribosomal RNA is filed under the name Hansenula anomala. Its description in RNAcentral is "eukaryotic LSU rRNA". It matches the Rfam family "Eukaryotic large subunit ribosomal RNA", at positions 147 to 631 of the family's 3401-position model. Lineage: Eukaryota; Fungi; Ascomycota; Saccharomycetes; Phaffomycetales; Wickerhamomycetaceae. The record is from RNAcentral.